RNAcentral lists this unclassified non-coding RNA (142 nucleotides) under uncultured fungus. Its description in RNAcentral is "sequence contains ITS1, 5.8S rRNA gene". The record is from RNAcentral. Lineage: Eukaryota; Fungi.
CCGAGUGAGGGCCUCGAGCCCGACCUCCAACCCUUUGAAGUUACCCAACUCUGUUGCCUCGGGGGGCGACCCGGCCGCCGGGACCCCCGACGGACCACACCACUCUGCGUUUCUGCGUCGGAGUUUGAAGGGAAAUCAAUCA